RNAcentral lists this ribosomal RNA (1291 nucleotides) under Patescibacteria group bacterium. RNAcentral's name for it is "partial 23S ribosomal RNA". It matches the Rfam family "Bacterial large subunit ribosomal RNA", at positions 1 to 1176 of the family's 2925-position model. The record is from RNAcentral.
AAGGUACUCAAGAGCACACAAUGAAUGCCUAGACGUAUAAUACCGAUGAAGGACGUGGAAGACUGCGAAAAGUCUUGGGGAGCUGUCAACAAGCUUUGAUCCAGGAAUAUCCGAAUGGGGAAACCCAAUACGAGUCAUGUCGUAUUAUCUGCUUCUGAAUAUAUAGGAAGUUUGACGGGAACCGACUGAACUGAAACAUCUUAGUAGGUCGAGGAAUAGAAAAUAAAUAAUGAUUCUCGGAGUAGUGGCGAGCGAAACGGGAUCAGCCCAAACCUUUUUCAUUUUUGCCUGGUAAUUUAUUACUGGGUAAAUAAGUUUUCAGACGAAUAUGAAUAAGGGGUUGUGACAUUACACAAGACCAUAUCAGACACCUGAAGUUCGCUUCAGGCAUCUGAUGUGCGAUCAUGAACUGAAAAUAGUGAGUAAAGUAAGAAAACUUUGUAGUUAGCGGAAUAGUUUGAAUGACUAGCCAAAGAGCGUGAAAGCCGCGUAUGCGAAAACUACAUAGACUUUAUAUGUGUUUUGUCGAGUAGGUCGGGGCACGAGAAACCCUGAUUGAAUCCGGCAGGACCACCUGCCAAGGCUAAAUAUAUUAUGCGAUCGAUAGUGAACUAGUACCGUGAGGGAAAGGUGAAAAGAACCCCGGGAGGGGAGUGAAAUAGAUCCUGAAAUUGUGUGCUUACAAGGAGUCGGAGCGGAUUUAUUCCGUGACGGCGUGCUUUUUGUAGAACGAUCCAGCGAGUUAAUUUCUAGUGCAAGGUUAAGUCAAGUGACGGAGCCACAGUGAAAGCGAGCCUGAAUAGGGCGAUUUAGUACUAGGAAUUAGACCCGAAACCGGGUGACCUAACCAUGAGCAGGUUGAAGCUACUGUAAUAGGUAGUGAAGGACCGAACCGUCGUACGCAGCAAAGUGCUCGGAUGACUUGUGGUUAGAGGUGAAAUGCCAAUCGAACCCGGAGAUAGCUGGUUCUCCUCGAAAUAGCUUUAGGGCUAGCGUCAAUUAAUUAGCACACGGGGGUAGAGCUCUGUAAAGGACUGGGGGGUGCAAACCUACCCACCCUUAACAAACUACGAAUACCGUGUGUGGUAUCUUGGCAGUUAGAACGUCGGGGCUAAGCUCGGCGCUCGAAAGGGAAACAGCCCAGACCAUCGUCUAAGGUCCCUAAAUAUAUACUCAGUGGGAAACAAGGUGAGAUUUCUUAAACAGCUAGGAUGUUGGCUUAGAAGCAGCCAUUCAUUUAAAGAGUGCGUAACAGCUCACUAGUCAAGAGAUCUUGCGUGGAAAAUGUAAC